Molecule: unclassified non-coding RNA, 1291 nt
Filed under: Hevea brasiliensis (rubber tree)
Lineage: Eukaryota; Viridiplantae; Streptophyta; Magnoliopsida; Malpighiales; Euphorbiaceae
Source: RNAcentral
AGAAGAGACGGGAGAGGAGGAGGAAGAAAUGGGAGGAGGAGAAGAAGAUCAACAGAAAUUGAAGAACACAGCAGCAGCAGCGUAUGACUACGAGAAUGAUCCGAGAUGGGCAGAUUAUUGGUCCAAUAUACUCAUUCCUCCUCACAUGGCUUCUCGUUCUGAUGUCGUCGACCAUUUCAAGCGCAAGUUUUAUCAACGAUACAUAGACCCUGGUCUAGUGGUUGAGCCAAUGGCUACCAGCAGUUCGUCCCAACCAGCAAAACCAUCAGUUGCUCAACCAUCAUCAUCAUCGUCCACACCUUCUAAUAACCAGCCAAGACAGCGUAACUCUGGUCAAGCUAGUAGAACUUCAGGCACGCCAACUACUCCAACUUCAAAUCCGACAUCACUUCGCUGGGACCGAAAUACUAUACAAUUUUCAGUGAAUGCUUGGGUUUUUGUUGUUGCAGUUCUCUCAAUAUUUCCGCUUACACCUGCAAAUCUGUCGAACAGAGCAUAUCGACUGUCCUUCUUGGGAACUGCAUGUUCUUCGCUAUAUUCAUUAUACUCUGUAUAUGGGAAACCGAGGGCUUGGAAUUUACAAGCAGUGCAAGUUUGGUUCCAGUCAGUUAUUGUGACGAAGGAUUUCAUCUCCUUCAUUUACUGUCUCACAUUUGUCACUUCCCAUCUUUACCUGAAAUUUUCUUUGAUUCCUGUUUUAUGCCGAUCACUUGAACAUGUUGGUAAAUUUCUUCGACGUAACUUCGGCAGAUCUUCUUUGUACAGGAAGUACUUAGAAGAGGCUUGCGUAUGGGUCGAGUCAAACGUUACUACUCUCAACAUACUAUCUUCACAGGCUGAAAUUGGACUGGGAUUUCUUCUGGUUGUCUCUCUAUUAUCGUGGCAGCGUAAUAUUAUACAAACAUUCAUGUAUUGGCAGAUAUUGAAGCUUAUGUAUCAUGCUCCUGCUACUGCUGGUUACCAUCAGAAUGUGUGGGCUAAGAUCGGAGGGCUUGUAAAUCCAGUUGUUCAACGUGCCCCGUUCUUGAAUACUCCUAUUUCAACUAUUCAGAGAUGGUGGUUCAGGUAGGAGACUUGCUGAAAGAUAUACAAGAGUUUUAGGGGCAUGAAAUACUUUUUUGGGAUUAUACUUUGUCCUGAAGGGUGACUAUAAAACUAGAAUUGUCUAGUUAAUAUUCCUAAUAAUUGCCUGUGGGAGUUACUUCCAUCCAAGUUUCCCCCUUUUUGGGAUGUGAUUUUUCCUUUGUUUAACUGCUUUAUUUUGUAAACCUAAAUUCUCCAAGAACUCUAG